GCAGAGUAAAUAAUCGUGCGUUAAGUGCCUAGUGAACGGGGAGUUGUCACUAAGACGAAAAGCAUACGCUUGCGGUACGAUUAUUGCAUCCCGCUGC
RNAcentral lists this non-coding RNA (97 nucleotides) under Veillonella caviae. Its description in RNAcentral is "THF riboswitch". It matches the Rfam family "THF (Tetrahydrofolate) riboswitch aptamer". From Rfam's summary of the family: THF riboswitch presents a pseudoknot that joins P1-P2 and the loop of P3 and two THF binding. Lineage: Bacteria; Bacillati; Bacillota; Negativicutes; Veillonellales; Veillonellaceae. The record is from RNAcentral.